AUCCAGUUGACGAGUCUCAAAUAGGACGAAACGCAAGUUCUGGAU
This 45-nucleotide non-coding RNA is filed under the name Schistosoma curassoni. The record is from RNAcentral. Lineage: Eukaryota; Metazoa; Platyhelminthes; Trematoda; Strigeidida; Schistosomatidae.